Long non-coding RNA from Planococcus citri (citrus mealybug), 9584 nucleotides. RefSeq lists it as uncharacterized. NCBI's taxonomy places the organism in Eukaryota, Metazoa, Arthropoda, Insecta, Hemiptera, Pseudococcidae. The transcript is spliced from 3 exons. The record is from RefSeq and is a predicted model, not a curated record.
ACCAUCUGGUAUACACAUACACACAUAUGAUACUUGAAGUUUGCCAACCUCCUUGCGGCAACGACCGACAGUAUAGCUUGAAAUGUUGUCAUCAAUGUAUCUUUUAGUGCAAUGUCGAAAAUUUUCUUCGACCAAAAGAGUACAUAAAUAUAAAGUGCUGAUCGAUGAAAUAAAUGAUGUAUCUUUCGCGUGAUUUGUGCAGUUUUGCUGCUGUACAAAUCAACAAAUUUGAUUGUUUUUCGAUUUUCGUGCCAUUAAUUUCGGGUUAAGGUUAAAAUGUUUGGUGGAGCAACGCUAUCUUGGUUCAAGAUAUUAUAGCUAACGCUAAUGGAUGUCGCAGUUUCCGGUUUAGUAGGUGCAAUGGCUGUACCUACUUGUUCGAUAUUAUGCAUUACCGGCUCCAAACUCAUUCGCAGCAGAUCAUGAUGGUUUUAAUAUGAGCUGAUGAGUUGUGGUACUAUUCAAUUUUAACGAAUUCUUCAAACUAUAUUCGAAAAAAAAUCUCAAUAAUGCGAAGAAUUUAUCCGCAUAAUUUUAUGUUGUGAAUUUUUCCACGUCAAGAUACCUAUUGGAAUAGAGGCAUAAAUUCGUAUUCUGCAGGAAGAUUAAAUGCGAAUUAAAGCCCAGCUUUUAUCUGCCGCUCGGGAAAGUACGUCGUUCAUGUAUCGCGUCACCGGCAUAACGUUUCCUGAAAUUUGUAACUUUUUUUCAAAAAACAUCACAUUAUCUUAAUUUUCCUUGCAGUCUCAUACAGUACUAGUACAUAUAAUGGUACGGAUAGUUGUAAACGUAUCACGCAAUUUCAUUUACCUACAACCAGUAUGUAUUUUUUCUACUCUAUUGAAACUUUUUUCGCCUAGACUUGAUGUAGGUACCUACCUAUAGAUUUUAAACUACUUUCUAUUGAAUAAUUCAACGUCAUAGUAUUGAAAAAGUUUCGUUCUUAGAAAUGAAAUUGUUUGCAAUAACCUGUCGAAAUAUGAUCAUUGCAAACACUUCGCCGGAGUAAUUGAGAAAUAAUCAUGAGCUAGGUACUAUUUUCAGAAAUUUUUCAAAAAAUCGAUUGUACAAAUGUACAUAAUAAUAAGACGUAUCUUCUUAAAAUUAAUUUUGAGUUUCAAUUCGCAGUUUAAAAUUUUCAACAAACUGAAAAAAAAACACUUACAAAGAAAUACCUACCUACCGCUUUCCUUUAUCAGUUUAGCUUGUAAUACUUACUUUUUCAAACUUUUGUUUGAGCCUCAAAAACGUUGUAAGGUUUUUAUUUUAAUGUUUAAAAAAUGAGGAGAAUUCAAAAGUCUGGAAAAAAAUACGAAAAAACUCUUUGAAAAAUAAUUAGAUAAAACCAAAAUACGUAUCUUUUAAAAUGUUGAUUUUACCAAAGUUGAUGGCCUGAAAAAUGGUCUUCGUCUUACCUAUUUUAAUAAUAAUUAAUUUUUGUAUAAGUACUAGUUCUUUUUUUCGUUUUAUUUGAUUUCCUCCGACGAUUCUUGAAAAUCGAUUGGUGGAAAUUCAUACUCGAGAAACGUGUACCUAUUUCUUCAUGUUUGGGCAAAAACUUGCGCAGACAACUCGAGUAGGUAAUAAUUGACCACAUGAGCUGACAUUUUUACAAGUUAAUAGGUCCUCAAUAAAGGUUAUUAAAAUCAUUAAGAAGUCAUCAUUUUGGCUGUUUUGGCCUAAAUUUGAACGAAUUGCUUCCAUCCCGCGCUUCCUUUUUUGAAAAAGGCAGCGAAAAAUUGAAAAUUUUGAGUCAUGGACAUGGCCAUUCCUUUAUUUCGUUUUCGAUUUUGAAAAAAAGUCCAGUUUGAAAGUACGAGUACUUACAAAAAAAUACUUACCUAAUGUUGAAAACCAAACAUAAGAAGGCGAAAAUUAAUUCUGAUAAUCUAAAGCGAUCAACUGUUUGAAAAUAAUGAUAUUUCGAAGAUAUCACUCGGAUUAUUGAAAAUUGCGAAAAGUUGAUCAAAUAUUUACAAAAAUUGAGCGAUAAUUUUUCAAAAUGCAAAAAACGUAUAGUACCUAUGUAAAAAUUGCAAAAUGAACCUCCCAGUUAUUGAAUGUUACCAAAAAUGGAUAAAAAAUCUUUAUAAUUUAGCAGAAUUCUGCGAAAAUUGUUUGAAAAGUCGAAAUAAUGUCAUCAUAAGUACAUAGUUCGAAUUAUGAAAACUUGGCAAAAUAUAGCCAAAAUGGUUUGUUUAAAAAAAAAAAAAUUGAGAAAAUUACAAAAAAUAAUUAAUUAAAUACGAGUAGGUAUUAUCAAAAUGAUAUGAAAUUGCGAAAAAAUCACUCAAAAUUCUACCAUUUUCGGGGUAGAUUACGGUAAAAAUACGAUUCAAAUUCAAAACAUCUUCCCCCCCUUGAAUAAUACAUCUUAAAAUUUACCUCUUCUUCUUGUAGCCACGACCGUCUCGAUCUUCGGCAUCAUCCAUUGGCGCUUUCCCCUCCUUAGCCCCCUGAAGUCGCCUUCCAGACGAUUUCUCUGUACAUAUCUCUAUCUGCCGUUGAGUGAAAGAGGGUUUCCACGCCGAGUCCUGUCCAAUUCCUGAGAUUUCUCAGCCACGACAUUCUCUUCCUUCCUCAACCAUGUUUCCCUUCUAUCUUCCCCAUCAUAAUUGUCUGUAGUAACUCGUACCUUUCGCCCCUCAUUGCAUGGCCGAAAUAACAGAGCUUCCGCUUCUUCACAGAAUUGACCAGCUCCAGUUCUUUCCCGGUCAUUUGCAUCACCUCCUCAUUCCUCUUCUUCGCUGUCCAUGGUAUCUUCAGAAUGCGCCGGUAGCACCACAUUUCAAAUGCAUCAAGCUUACUUAUGGUAUCUCCCUUCAGGGUCCAGGUUUCGCAUCCGUACAUCAGAACAGACCAUACAUAGCAUUUUGUUGCUCUGACACGGGUUUUUAUUGACAGAUUGUUUGCAGUCAGUGUCUUUUUCAUCCUUAUGAAAGCAGCUCUUGCCUGUUCGAUUCUGCUCCUUAUUUCUUCAUUAGGAUUUGCAUCAUCGUUCACCCAGGCGCCUAGGUAUUUGUAAUGUUUCACCUGGUCUAGAAUAUCGCCUCCAGUCAUUAUCUCUAUUUUAUCAGAUUCUUCACCGCCUACUCUCAUGACUUUGGUCUUUUUUGUAUUUAUUCGAAUUCCAUAGUCCUUACAGGCUCUCUCCACAGCAUGUAUCAGCUCCUCCAGUUCCUCCUCACUUUCAGCAAUAAGUGCCGUAUCAUCCGCAUAUCUGAUGUUGUUUAUUAAUUCGCCACCAAUUUUUACUCCUUCAGUUCAACCUUCUAGAGCCUUUCUAAAUGCCUGAUCUGCGUAUACGUUGUACAGAAUGGGAGACAAUAUACACCCCUGUCGAACUCCACACUCUAUUUCCAUUGGAUCCGUCUGUUUCCCAUUUUCCAAUAGGACUGUGGCCUUUUGUUGACGAUAAAGGUUUUCGAUUAUACAGGGUGGACAGAAAUAUCGGGUACCCCUAAAAAAGUUUUCUGUUAAAUACUUCGGUUGGUCACAGUGAAUGAUAGUAAUGGUAGCACAUGAUUGGUUGUUAGACUGGAGAGAUAACAUUUCACCAAUCAUAUGCAUCUAUUUCACAUUGCCAACCUAUAUUUUCAAUGAAAAACUUUCUUAGGGGUACCCGAUAUUUCUGUCCACCCUGUACGUAUGUCUGCCAGAUCUAGCCCUAUCAACCGUAUUAUCUCAAAAAGUCUUUCAUGUUGCACCUUGUCAAACGCUUUUUCAAAGUCCAAAAAGCAUAUAUACAUUGGUUGACGAAACUCCCGCAUUUUUUGCAUUGAAACAUUGAUGCAAAACAGCGCUUCUUGCGUGCCCAGACCACUUCUGAAACCAAACUGUUCUCUGCUGAUAUUUUCUUCGCAUUUUCUUUGUAUUCUGCUAUGGAUAAUUCUCAGAAAUACUUUGAGGGUAUGACUCAUCAGACUGAUUAGUCUGUAAUCGCUGCAGGAUUUGGGAUGGUGGUUUUUAGGUAGAGGUAUAAAUGUCGACAUCAGCCAUUCAUCUGGGAUUUCUCCGGGUGUGUAGAUUUUAUUGAAUAAUUUGGUAAGUAUUUUGAGUCCAUCUCUGUCAAGUGUUCUGAGCAGCUCUGAUGUUACUUCAUACCACACAGACAAAAAAACGUAUUACAAAAGAAAAUAAAAAAAUAAUAUGAAAAACCGAAGAUAAGAAGGCGGAAAUGAAUUCUGACCAACUGUCUGAAAAGAGUGAUAAUUAUUUCGAUGAAAUCACUCGGAUUAUUGAAAAUUGCGAAAAGUUGAUCAAAUAUUCUCAAAAAUUGAACGAUAAUUUUUCAAAAUGCAAAAAAUAUUGCAAAAUGAACCUCUCAGUUAUUGAAUGUUACCAAAAAUGGAUAUAAAAUCGGUACAAUUUAGCAGAAUUUUGCAAAAAUUGUUUGAAAAGUUGGAAUAAUGUCAUAAGUAGUUCGAAUAUGAAAACUCAACACGAAUUAAAUAUCGCCAAAAUGCUUUGGUUUAAAAAAAAAAUAUGAGAAAAUUACGAAAAAUAAUUACCUAUAAUUAAAUACCUACGAGUAUUAUCAAAAUGAUAUGAAAUUGCAUUUCCACCGAAUAAUAAAUAUACUUAAUUCCGUUGAAAUGAAACAUUUUCAGCAAAAAUAAAGUUAUUAUAAAGAACAAGUGAACAAAAUAAACGUUUACAAUCAUGUAGAAAUAUGCAGCUAAUCAGUAGUACUAGUACCCAACUAGCCACUGUUGCUGUCGUACAUAGACAAGUCAUUUAAUGUGUAAGCGGAAAGGUUGUAGUCUUUUUGUCUUCAUUUCUGAGUAUUCAGUGUCAAUAGAAAAUGAUAAGAUAAGGAUUCAUGCUUAUCUCUCCAGUCUUUACCCAACACGUGUCAUGGGAGCCAAGGCCAGAUGGAGAACUAAUUUUUGGGUCGUGUUAUUUUUGUUUCGAAUUGCUCUAUGGAGUUUCAUCAAGUUUUCCAGGUAUCAAACUUCAUUUAUGGUGGUCCCUUUUGGAAAAAUUCGAUCGGAGACUUGCUCAAAGGGUAAAAAACUCGAUCACACCCCUCAGCUUCAUGUUGGACGGAGGUUCGCCCAUUGUUGUCAUGAUUAUGCACCUAUGAAACACGCAAAAUGCAACCGAUUCCAACGAAACUUUCACCAAAUACUAACCUCAGUAUCACUGAUCCGUGGUAAAAAUUUCAGCGCGAUCAGUGCAAACCAACCCCGAAAAACGAGCAUGUGAAACUUACUUAUUGAGUGGCCACUCAGCACUCUAGAAAACCUGUUAAACGAUAUGCCAUUUUUGAUAAUUCAACUUUGCCUUUGGGCCCUUUUUUCCAAUUUGCCCCCUGGGCCUAAAUCCUUAAAUCCGCCACUGGCAAUAAGUAUGACGAUUACCGUUGAAUUUUGAUUUUGAUUAUCUUGAAGGUUACCGCGGAGUUGUGAAUGUUGCGAUGAGGAGGACGUCGAGGGUGGUAGUUACAGUACCUGUAACCACUUAAUUACGUUAGGUACGUUAAUUUUCAUUCUCUAACUAAAACUAUAAUUUUCGGGGCAAAAAACGGUAAAAAUAUGAUUCAAAUUCAAAACAUCCCCCCCCCCCUCCUUGAAUAAUACAUCUUAAAAUUUACCACGCUGCCAAAAAAACGUAUUACAAAAGAAAACAAAAAAAAUAAUAUGAAAAACCAAACAUAAGAAGGCAAUGAAUUCUGACCAACUGUAAAAGAGUGAUAACUAUAGGUAUUUCGAAAAAAUCACUCGAAUCAUUGAAAGUUGCGAAGUGUUGAUCACGAAGUCAGCAAAAAUAAUUAAAAAUUGCUCUAAAAUAGGCGCAAAAACUGUGAGACAGUUUUCAAAUGUGAAAUGUGAGCUUCCUACCAAAUUUGGGGCAAUUGGGUAUUUUGCUUUUUCGUAAUUUACAAAAAAUUGAAAAAAUUGACCCCUCAUUUACGAAAUAGUUUUGAGGGGCAGGAGGGCAUACUACACAUUAAAGUGAUAUUCAUAGGAGUCCCAUUCAACAAAUUGAAAGCAUUUUUUCAGAUUUCCAGAGUGAAUGAUACAUAGAAAUCAUAGAAUUAUUUGCUGAAAGAAAGCUUUUAUUUGAGAUGACAAAAUUUAAAUUUAAAUUAUGUUAAUUUUUACAAGAUACUUAGAAAUAAAAACUUACUUACUAAUUGUAAGAAUUAAUGUAUAAUUUGUAAAGUCCAAAAAUAAUGCUGAAUCAUAAUACGAGUAUCAGAAUUGUUACUAUUCCCUCCAUUUGUGUUGGGGCGGCGGUAAAUUGUUUUGUGGCAAUUGCAUGUGCAUUUUUUCGUGCAAGCCUUAUCCGGCAUUUUGCAGAUAUUCUGAAAUUUUCAAAUAAAUUUUCAAGUUGAAAUUCAGCCGGGGGCUGAGGGGUCCGGAGGGGCUGUGCGAGUGUAGCAGAAAAUCUGAUGUCAUAUUCAUGCUCAGCAGUAUCGAAUCGUAAGAAAGCGACACGAAAAUCAUCAAAGUAAGUUUAUUUUAAAAAUUCUUAAAAAUUGAGGGGUCCGGAGGGGCUGUGUGGGUGUAAAACAAAAUCUGACGUCAUAUUCGUGCUCAGCGAUAUCGAAUCAUAAGAAAACGACACCCUACUCAUUGAUAUUCAUCUUUCAUAAAAUUCCAAAAUCACCCCCGCCCCCCUUAAGACACUUUUUUUCAACUUUUCAGCAUGGCGCACCAAAGCAAAAAUUUCGAAAGAAGUACAUGAUGUUUGGGGGCCAAAAAUACAUCCAAAAAACGUGUUUCCAAAAUUGUACCUCGCAAUCUUGAUUGUUAAUACGCAUAAAAAAUUAAAAAAACACCAUUUUUAGGGGUAAAUAUGAAGGGGGGUAGAAAAUUUUUGUGGGGAUACCUACUAAGGAUAUACAUAACUUCCAGAAAAAUUUUCAAAAUCGGUUAAAAUGGAACUGAGAAAAGUGUUAUUGAAAUUUCAGAAAAGGGUGGUCCCCAAAAAGGGGAGGGGGUGUGGAUCUGAAAUUUUUCACGCGCAAUUUCACCCCCCCCCCCCCCCCCGUAGGCGCCUAUAUCCUUUAUGUAUUUUUCAGGAAACCCUCCUUUUUUGAAUGGCUGUGGUUCCACCCUCCUUGAACAUACAAGGAAAGUUGAUACAUCAUUAGAUCGGAAAUUGGACGUAGAUUUUUUUGGCUAAAAUGCAAUGCGGCGGAGAAAAUCGCGAAAAACUUAUUUUGGGGGCACAAAUGUGGGUCUGGGGGGCGAAGCACCACGCGGAUUUAGGGUGGGUUUUAGUACGUCAUUUAGGACACCAUCCUGAGCAUUUUGACGCAAGAAAAAUUUCCCCUAAUUUAUUCCAGGUGAAAUCCCUAUUUGACUGUAUUAACAAUAGGUACUCUUUCUGUGUUAAUUUUAUGGUUUUAUUUUUGCUGUCAAGAAAUAAAAUUUUUAUAAGAUACUUAGAAAUAAAAACUUACUUACUAAGUAGAUAUUAAUUCUUGCAAGGCUUAGACAUUCUGAAAUUUUUAAAUUAUAUUUAAAAUUUUUAAUGUACAUUGUACUUGAAGCAUAAUUAUUUCCAUACUCUGUAUGCAACUGCUCACUGUCACUAUGUGUAAUUUUCACGUAUUUUUCGAUAUUUCGUGAGGAUGCGUUUCUAUUUUUCACCAAUGGUGCGUUGCUUACGCAUACGUGUUGUAAACUUGUAAAAUUUUUCUACACGAGUACUUAUGGCAAAAUACUUCUUUUUAUUUUUUGGGAGAAAAUAAUAUAUUUUCGUGAAAAUUUCGUAAUAACGUUUUUUAUAGAAAAUGAAAUCCUUCAUCGAUCGGUAUAAAAAUUGUUUCAUUUUCUUGCUGUUAUAACGAUUUCAUCGAGUAUUUUCAUUCGAGAAUCAAAUUUCACGUAAAUCAACUUCAAAUCAAAAUUACUUGUAAUUUUCAUAAAAUCGGGCACAUGAGUGUUUCGAGCAACCAAAAUGUUCGAAAUUUUAUCCUUUUUUUUUUCUUUAAUUUGGCGUUUUAUUCGAAAUUCUAGCUGUUGCUGUUCGGAAGUUACAGAAGUUCAAAGUUGUAAAAUACAAGCUACAGCAAUCAGCAAUGUUCAUUUUGUUAUCACAAUUCACAUCACAAGAAUGAAGGUAAACAGAAACGGGAUUGUCUAACGACAUGCAAAUCGCUCACUUUUCACAACUUUAAACUUCUGUAACUUUCGAACCGCAACAGCUAGAAUUUUGAAUAAAACCCCGAAUUAAAGAGAAUAAAAUUUCAAACAUUUUGGUUGCUUGAAACACCCACGUGCCCGCUGAAAAUUAUAAGUAAUUUUUGAUCUGAAGUUUACUUAAUACUUAAAAUUCACGAACGAAAAUACUCGAUAAAAUCGUUAUGACAGCAAGAAAAUGAAGCAAUUUUUAUACCGAUCGAUGAAGGAUUUCAUUUUCUAUAAAAAAACGUUAUUACGAAAUUUACACGAAAAUACAUUAUUUUCUCUCAAAAAAUAAAAAAAAGUAUUUCGCCAUAAGAACUCACCUAGAAAAAUUUUACAAAUUUGCAACACGUAGGUAUGCGCGAGCGACGCACCAUUAAUGAAAAACAGAAACGCAUCCGCACGAAAUAUCGAAAAAUCGGUGAAAAUUUGACGUACUUUUGAGCCGAAUCUGCAGGGGACACCUCAACAGUGGAUUUUUGACCACCUUUUCUCACAAUGAAAAUAUCCAAAAAAUCAAAAUUUUCAAAAUUUCUUACUAAAAUUCAAAAAAGGUUCAAAGACCUUUCUAUCAUGGUAUCGUUGAUAGACAUAAAUAGGUAUAGAACGAAUGACCGCGUCAAAACAAUACAAACAAAAUAGCUAUCGACUGAACAUACUUACCUACAAUAGACGUCAAAUUUGACAAAUCAAAUGAAAUGGAUCUGCAGGGAUAGAAAAUAUGGUGGUCAUUUAACACUAUUAUUUUAUUAUAAGAAAUAUAAAAACAUCUAUACCUACUCUUACGAGCUAACUAAGAACACGAGUGAUAGAAUUGACAAGAGGAGUGUGACACCCUCCCGUCGGUCUUUACACACUCCUGCAAAGAAUAGUGGCGGGAAUCAACGGGUUUCGCACGUUAUCGAACGACAGUGAUAUUCAGAUUCAUUCUACAGUCUCGUAGACACAUUUAGACAUUAUCUUCCAUCGUGCGAUAUAAGCCUUAAAAAAUUGCUGAAACCUUCUCAUUUCCUAUUUUUCGUCGAAAAAUUAAAUUUGGUUGGUAUAACAAUUGAAUAAAAAUUGAAACAAAUUUUUAAAAAUUUCACAGCCGUUACCAUUAAUUUUUCGAUUUAGUAAACUCUAUAAAACUUACAAUUAGGAAUUGACUUUUUGACUGUUUUUUUCUCGCGCUAAACUUUCUCUUUGCUCAGGUCUCUUUAUUUAUGUGUAGGUACUAGGUAGCUUUUUAAAAUCAUCAAAAAUAUUGUAACGCCUUCUGGGCGAAAAAUGGAUAAAGUAAAUAAGAAAAUAAUAAUAUGUUAAUAAUACGAUAAACAAAUUUAAUAUAAAAUCUACUACUAUUGUAUUUGAUUUGCACCUGCCUAUUCUUAAUUUUAUUCGUAAGUACUUUGUUAUAUUUAUUUUUGAAUGAAUGAAUGAAUAAAUAAAUUACUUUUCUUA